UUUUUCUUUUAUAUUUUCCUUUCUUUUAAUAAUUAUUUUAUUUUAAAAAUUAAUUCCAAAUAAUACAAAUAAUAUAUAUGACAAAAAAUAAUUAAAAUAAUAAAAUUAAAAUAAAAUAUUUUAAUUCAUUUUCUAUAUAAUUAAAACUUUUCUUUUUAUCUUUUUCUUUCUUUUAACAAUUAUUUUUAUUUUUAAAACUCCUUCCAAAUAAUACAAAUAAUCCCAGGACCUUCCCACCAUCAGUGCCGUAUCUCCUCCACCACUCGCCUUCCCACCAUCAGAUGACCACGCCUCACAAACUCCUUCCCCCUCUUCCCUCCAAACCCUCCUCCUCCUCUUCCCUCCAAGCCUUCCACCGUCGCCGGUAUCUCCUCCUAUUUUCCGUCGCCAGAUCCUCCGGAUCCAUGUCCGCCGCCGCCGCCGCCUCCUCCGCCGGCCAGAUUUUCACCGUCGCCGCUAACUAGGUGUAGGAGGAUGCUGGAGGCGAAGGAGACCGCAGUGAAAGCUAGGGGCUUUUUGAGGGGGUGGGGGAGGGAAACCGAGGGUUUG
Molecule: long non-coding RNA, 549 nt
Filed under: Panax ginseng (ginseng)
Lineage: Eukaryota; Viridiplantae; Streptophyta; Magnoliopsida; Apiales; Araliaceae
Description: long non-coding RNA (PGIN_LNC017511)
Source: RNAcentral